This 38-nucleotide ribosomal RNA is filed under the name Fusarium sp. RNAcentral's name for it is "partial 28S ribosomal RNA". Lineage: Eukaryota; Fungi; Ascomycota; Sordariomycetes; Hypocreales; Nectriaceae. The record is from RNAcentral.
UGUUGACCUCGGAUCAGGUAGGAAUACCCGCUGAACUU